AGCCAUGUGAGUCGUUGUAGCAAUACAAGGCAUACGGCUCAGUAACACGUAGUCAAUCUAACCUAUGGACGGGGAUAACCUCGGGAAACUGAGGAUAAACCCCGAUAGAUCAUUAUGCCUGGAACGGUUUAUGGUCUAAAUGAUUCGUCGCCGUAGGGUGGGACUGCGGCCUAUCAGCUUGUUGGUGAGGUAAUGGCCCACCAAGGCUAUUACAGGUACGGGCUCUGAGAGGAGAAGCCCGGAGAUGGGUACUGAGACACGGACCCAGGCCCUAUGGGGCGCAGCAGGCGAGAAACCUUUGCAAUGUGCGCAAGCACGACAAGGUUAAUCCGAGUGUUUCCUGCUAAAGGAAUCUUUUGUUAGUUGUAAAACCACUGAUGAAUAAGGGGUGGGCAAGUUCUGGUGUCAGCCGCCGCGGUAAAACCAGCACCUCAAGUGGUCAGGAUGAUUAUUGGGCCUAAAGCAUCCGUAGCCUGUUCUAUAAGUUUCCGGUUAAAUCCAUUAGCUCAACUAAUGGGGCUGCCGAAAAUACUGUAGAAACUAGGGAGUGGGGAGAGGUAGACGGUACUCGGUAGGAAGGGGGUAAAAUCCUUUGAUCUAUUGAUGACCACCUGUGGCGAAGGCGGUCUACCAGAACACGUUCGACGGUGAGGGAUGAAAGCUGGGGGAGCAAACCGGAUUAGAUACCCGGGUAGUCCCAGCUGUAAACGAUGCAGACUCGGUGAUGCCCUGGCUUGUGGGCCAGUGCAGUGCCGCAGGGAAGCCGUUAAGUUUGCCGCCUGGGAAGUACGUACGCAAGUAUGAAACUUAAAGGAAUUGGCGGGG
RNAcentral lists this ribosomal RNA (825 nucleotides) under uncultured marine archaeon. RNAcentral describes it as "bacterial SSU rRNA". It matches the Rfam family "Archaeal small subunit ribosomal RNA", at positions 47 to 873 of the family's 1478-position model. The record is from RNAcentral.